RNAcentral lists this ribosomal RNA (137 nucleotides) under uncultured bacterium. RNAcentral's name for it is "partial 16S ribosomal RNA". It matches the Rfam family "Bacterial small subunit ribosomal RNA", at positions 355 to 507 of the family's 1533-position model. The record is from RNAcentral.
UGGGGAAUAUUGCACAAUGGGCGCAAGCCUGAUGCAGCAACGCCGCGUGAGUGAAGAAGGCCUUCGGGUCGUAAAACUCUGUCCUAAGGGAAGAAGAAGUGACGGUACCUUAGGAGGAAGCCCCGGCUAACUACGUG